GCUCCAGUGGCCUAGUGGUUAGACUGUCCACCUUAGAUGCGGGAGGUCAUGGGUUCAAUGCCCCGUCGAGUCA
This is a non-coding RNA of Potamilus streckersoni, 73 nucleotides long. The record is from the annotation of a GenBank genome assembly. Lineage: Eukaryota; Metazoa; Mollusca; Bivalvia; Unionida; Unionidae.